AGCAGCCGCGGUAAUACGAAGGGACCUAGCGUAGUUCGGAAUUACUGGGCUUAAAGAGUUCGUAGGUGGUUGAAAAAGUUGGUGGUGAAAUCCCAGAGCUUAACUCUGGAACUGCCAUCAAAACUUUUCAGCUAGAGUAUGAUAGAGGAAAGCAGAAUUUCUAGUGUAGAGGUGAAAUUCGUAGAUAUUAGAAAGAAUACCAAUUGCGAAGGCAGCUUUCUGGAUCAUUACUGACACUGAGGAACGAAAGCAUGGGUAGCGAAGAGGAUUAGAUACCCUCGUAGUCCAUGCCGUAAACGAUGUGUGUUAGACGUUGGAAAUUUAUUUUCAGUGUCGCAGCGAAAGCGAUAAACACACCGCCUGGGGAGUACGACCGCAAGGUUAAAACUCAAAUGAAUUGACGGGGACCCGCACAAGUAGUGGAGCAUGUGGUUUAAUUCGAAGAUACGCGCAGAACCUUACCAACACUUGACAUGUUCGUCGCGACUUUAAGAGAUUAAAGUUUUCGGUUCGGCCGGACGAAACACAGGUGCUGCAUGGCUGUCGUCAGCUCGUGUCGUGAGAUGUUGGGUUAAGUCCCGCAACGAGCGCAACCCUCACUUUUAGUUGCCAUCAUUAAGUUGGGCACUCUGAAAGAACUGCCAGUGAUAAGCUGGAGGAAGGUGGGGAUGACGUCAAGUCCUCAUGGCCCUUACGUGUUGGGCUACACACGUGCUACAAUGGUAUCUACAACAGGAAGCAAAACUGCGAAGUUAAGCAAAUCCUUAAAAGAUACCUCAGUUCGGAUUGCACUCUGCAACUCGAGUGCAUGAAGCUGGAAUUACUAGUAAUCGUGGAUCAGCGUGCCACGGUGAAUGCGUUCCCGGGUCUUGUACACACCGCCCGUCACACCAUGGGAGUUGGUUCUACCUUAAGGCAAGGUUUAAAACCCUUGACCACGGUAUAGUCAGCGACUGGGGUGAAGUCGUAACAAGGUAGCCG
Molecule: ribosomal RNA, 981 nt
Filed under: uncultured bacterium
Lineage: Bacteria
Description: bacterial SSU rRNA
Rfam family: Bacterial small subunit ribosomal RNA
Source: RNAcentral